Molecule: ribosomal RNA, 443 nt
Filed under: uncultured bacterium
Lineage: Bacteria
Description: partial 16S ribosomal RNA
Rfam family: Bacterial small subunit ribosomal RNA
Source: RNAcentral
CCUACGGGAGGCAGCAGUGGGGAAUAUUGGGCAAUGGAGGCAACUCUGACCCAGCAACGCCGCGUGAAUGAUGAAGGUCUUCGGAUUGUAAAGUUCUGUGAUGGGGGAUGAACACAAUGACGGUACCCCAAUAGCAAGCCACGGCUAACUACGUGCCAGCAGCCGCGGUAAUACGUAGGUGGCAAGCGUUAUCCGGAAUGACUGGGUGUAAAGGGAGCGUAGACGGCAGCGCAAGUCUGGAGUGAAAUGCCGGGGCCCAACCCCGGAACUGCUCUGGAAACUGUGAAGCUGGAGUGCAGGAGAGGUAAGCGGAAUUCCUGGUGUAGCGGUGAAAUGCGUAGAUAUCAGGAGGAACACCGGCGGCGAAGGCGGCUUACUGGACUGUAACUGACGUUGAGGCUCGAAGGCGUGGGGAGCAAACAGGAUUAGAUACCCCAGUAGUC